Molecule: long non-coding RNA, 5764 nt
Filed under: Anolis carolinensis (green anole)
Lineage: Eukaryota; Metazoa; Chordata; Lepidosauria; Squamata; Anolidae
Description: lncRNA (ENSACAG00000038518.1)
Source: RNAcentral
UCCUGGGAGUGGAAGACUACAACUCCCAUGAUUCCAUAGCAGUUAGCUAUGGCAGUUGAGUGCUGUAAAACCAUUUAAUUCAUUCUGCACUCAUGGACGCAAAAUCCUUGAAUUGCAACAGGCAUUUUCCAAUCUCUAAUACCUAAAUUUACCUUCAGGCUAGCUUUAAUGGAACUUCCCCUAGAUUCAGCAAUAGCAAGCAAAUGUAUACUGACCACUUAAUACUGUUUGAAUGCAGCUUAAUAGUGCUGUAUUUAGAUGAUGCACGCCAUGACGCACAGCAAUGCUCAUUAAUGGCUGUAAAUCAGGAUAAGUCUGAGAGUAUACACUGGUUUGAGCGCCCGCUGUUAGCCCCAGCUUCUGCCAACCUAGCAGUUCGAAAACAUGCAAAUGUGAGUAGAUCAAUAGGUACCGCUCCGGCGGGCAGGUAACGGCACUCCAUGCAGUCAUGCUGGCAACAUGACAUUGGAGGUGUCUACGGACAACGCCGGAAAUGGAGAUGAGCACCAACCCCCAGAGUCAGACAUGACUGGACUUAACGUCAGGGGAAACCUUUACCUUUACCUUAUACACUGAAUUAGAGCCUGUAAUGUGCAUCAGCACACCUAAAUGUGAACCACAUCACACAGAGAAACUGAUUUAAGGAAUUCCUUCACAGCCAUGAAGUUGUGGAUCCUGGAGCCAGUUUGAGGGCAAUUUCUAUGGUGCAUAUAUGUACCAUCCAGCUCGCAAACAGUUAAAUCACUGUGUUGUCGAAGGCUUUCAUGGCCGGAAUCACAGGGUUGUUGUGUGUUUUCCGGGCUGUAUGGCCAUGUUCCAGAAGUAUUCUCUCCUGACGUUUUGCCCACAUCUAUGGCAGGCAUCCUCAGAGGUUGUGACCAACAGAGCUAUGGCAGGCAUCCUCAGAGGUUGUGAGGUCUGUUGGAAACUGGGCAAGUGGGCUUUAUAUAUUUUAUUUAUUUAUUUAUUUAUUUAUUUAUUACAAAAUUUAUAUCCCGCCCUUCUCGCCCAACAGGGGACUCAGGGCGGCUUACAAAAAACACAUAUAUAAAAAUUAUACAAUGCACUAUAAAUCAGUUAAAAAGUUAUUAACUCACAUCGGGCAUUCAUAAAACACAUUAUAAAAUACAGUUAGGCGUGUUCAAGUUUAAAAGACUGGAAUAAUGUCCAGGGUGGGAAGAAAGAACUCUUGUCUGUUUGAGGCAGGUGAGGAUGUUGCAACUGGCCUCCUUGAUUAACAUUGAAUAGCCUGGCAGCUUCAAGGUCUGGCUGCUUCCUGCCUGUGGAAUUGUUGGUAGGUGUUAGCUGGCCCUCAGAAGACAGGAGAAUUCCAGACAAUAAAGGGGAAUCCUUUCUUGGGAAGCGUUAGCUGACCCUGAUUUGCAACAUUCACACUUGCCUCAAACAGACAAGAGUUCUUUCUCUUUUCAGUUUCGAAGCCUGGCUGCUUCCUGCCUGGGGGAUCCUUUGUACAGAGGCUACCAGUAUUGAAAUUUGGCCUUGCUUUGCGUUGCCAAAGGCUUUGGGGACCACCAAAAGCAGCAGCAUUGCCCAUACAUGAAUCAAGGAACACGAAAGGCACUGAAGACUGAUUCAACCAGGGAAGUCAGCCAUAGCAGAGCACUUGAUGAACCAAUCUGGACGCAGCUUAUUAUUUGAGACCACUCUAACAAAUACCAGAGAAGCCACUGAAAUCCACAAGCAUGUGGACAAUUUCAACAGAAAGGAGGAAACCAUAAAAAUGAACAAAAUAUGGCUACCAAUAUUUAAAAAAACCCUCUAAAAUCAGGACAGAAAAUAAAGAGCAACUCUCAGAAAACAGGGGAAUUCCAGGCAUGAAACAAUCGGGGCCAGCUAACACCUCCCAACAAAGGAUUCCCCCAGGCAAGAGGUAGGCAGGCAGGCUUUUCAAUGCUAAUCAAGGUGAUUAACUUCAACAUUCACACCUGCCUCCAACAGAAAAGGGUUCUUUCUCCCACCAUGGAUCUUCCACAGAUAUAUAAACCCCACUUGCUUAGUUUCCAACAGACCUCACAACCUCUGAAGAUGCCUCCCACAGAUGUGGGUGAAACGUCAGGAGGGAAUGCUUCUGGAGCAUGGCCAUACAGCCCGGAAAGCUCAGAGCAACCCAGUGAUUCUGGCCCUGAGAUACUUCAACAACACAAAAAAUCCCAUGACAUAGUGUCAAACUGCAUCAAUUCAAUAGUGUAUUAAUUCAACUGACACCCUACGCUGUGCUUACGUACUAAGCCUUGAAGUUUGCUCAGUGCUGUGGAAUUUGGGAUUCAUAGUUUGGUGGGGGAAGAAAUGCCAGAUAAGAUAUAAUACAAGGGCAAUAGAAAAGCCCUCUGCAUGUUACACAACUCUAGUGCUGAACGGCACUGUUGCACAAUCUUUUCUGUAGGUUUUUAAGCAGAGACUAGAUGGCCAUCUGUUGGGAGUGCUUUGAUUGUGGCAGAACUUGGGUUGGACUAGAUGGCCUCGGGGUCAUUCCCAAAUUUCGGAUUACUGUAUACGAAAUGAACUUGCAACUGGAAUCCUAGAGUUGGAGGAAGGUCGUCCAGUCCAAAUCACUUCCCUGUAGAAAUACACAAGCGAAUCACUCCAGACAGAUGGCCAUCCAAUUAUUCCACACUGGACAAUGAAGUUAUUUCACACUGGACGAUGCGGUUAUUCCACACCUGUAGAUGCAUCCUAAGACUCCGGAGACGAGGGUUUGAAACUUUACUGUGGAUGCAUCUACAUUGUAGAAUUAAUCCAGUUUUAUACCACUUUAAGGACGAUGUCUCCAUGAGAUGGAAUCCUGAGAGCAGCAGUUUGGUAACAGGCCUGUUUUCUGUGGCAGAGAAGACUGCAACUCCCAGCACUCCAUUGCAGUAAGACUUUGCUAUUAAAGUGGUAUCAAACCGCAUUAAUUUUACAAUGUGGAUGCAUUACACUUUAAGGGCGAUGUCUGCAUGAGAUGGAAUCCUGAGAGCAGCAGUUUGGUAAGAGGCCUGUUUUCUGUGGCAGAGAAGACCGCAACUUCCAGCACUCCACUGCAGUAAGACAUUGUUAUUAAAGUGGUAUCAAACCGCAUUAAUUUUACAAUGUGAAUGCAUUGCAAACCGCAAAUUGCCACGAUCGGUUCACUUUAGGAUCCCUAUGAAUUGGCAAAACAAAGGCACAAAGCAACAACAAUAAACAAAGCCCACUUUCCCCCGCGUUUGCCCACCCAGAGUGGAUACAAUCCCAGCCAGCAGUUUCUGGGGACGAGUGCGCAUGCGCGGCUUUAAAAGCCGGCUCCACUCGUCUUCAGCGAGGAGGGGUGGAGUGCAGGAAGCAAAAGGGGGCGUGGUCCGAUGCGGCCAAUCAGGUGACGCCUGCGGGAUUAUGCAAAACAGCUACGGUGGCGCCGGCCAAUCAGGAGCCGAGCCGAGCCGGUCGUAUUUAUAGAUCCUAUUUAAAGAGCCCAGGGGAGUCUCCUUCCUUGUGGAGUGAAGCUGGACUGUGUGUGAAUGCAGGAGCGUUCACGCGUGGAGUUGGGCGGGGAAAAUGCCAAGAAUACUGUGGCUUCUUUCCCUCUAUUUACAUUUUAACUCUUCCUCCUCUUCUUUAGAAAGGCGUGACAUUUAAUGUAACAAUCCGUCCUUAUACAGGAUGACCUCACAACCCAAAAAUUGGCCACCUUGAUUAGCAUUGAAUAGCUUUGCAGCUUCAAAGCCUGGCUGCUUCCUGCCUGGGGGGUGUGAAUCCUUUGUUAGGAGGUGUUAGCUGGCCCUGAUUGUUUCCUGUCUGUGAUUCCUCUGUUUUUUAAGUGUUGUUCUUUAUUUACUGAACUGAUUUUAGAGGUUUUUUUUUUAUAAAAAAAAAUAUUGGUAGCCAGAUUUUGUUCAUUUUCAUGAUUUCCUCCUUUCUGUUGAAAUUGCCCAAAUGCUUCUCAUGGAUCUGAAUGCUAAUCAAGGUGGCCAGUUCCAGACACGAAACAAUCAAGGCCAGCUAACACUUCCCAACAAAGGAUUUCCCCCAGGCAGGAAGCAGCCAGGCUUUGAAACUGCAAAGCCAUUCAAUGCUAAUCAAGGUGGCCAGUUCCAGACACGAAACAAUUAAGGCCAGCUAACACCUCCCAACAAAGGAUGCCCCCAGGCAAGAAGCAGCCAGGCUUUGAAGCUGCAAAGCCAUUCAAUGCUAAUUAUGGUGGCCAAUGGCAACAUUCACACUUGCCUCAAACAGACAGAGUUCUUUCUCCCACCCUUGACAUCAUUCCACAGAUAUAUAAACCCCACUUGCCAAGUUUCCAACUUGCUUCUGGAACAUGGCCAUACAGCCCGGAAAACUCACAGCAACCCAACAUACAACAAUUGCUUUGGGAACUUACGUAUUUCAGAUGAAACCGCUUAGCGCCACAUGAUAACAGUAUGUAACAAAAUUUGAAAAAAAAAUGUUCCUAGUUUAAAGGUGUUAUUUCCUGUUUAAUUGUGCGGUGCUUACCGUAUAUACUCGAGUAUAAGCCGACUCGAAUAUAAGCCGAGGCACCUAAUUUUACCACAAAAAAAACCUGGGAAAACAUUGACUCCAGUAUAAGCCGAGGGUGGUAAAUUUCAGAAAUAAAAAUAGAUACCAAUAAAAUUACAUUAAGUGAGGCAUCAGUAGGUUAAAUGUUUUUGAAUACAGUAGAGUCUCACUUAUCCAACAUUCGCUUAUCCAACGUUCUGGAUUAUCCAACGCAUUUUUGUAGUCAAUGUUUUCAAUACAUCAUGAUAUUUUGGUGCUAAAUUCAUAAAUACAGUAAAUACUACAUAGCAUUACUGUGCAUUGAACUACUUUUUCUGUCAAAUUUGUUGUCUAACAUGAUGUUUUGGUGUUUAAUUUGUAAAAUCAUAACCUAAUUUGGUGUUUAAUAGGCUUCUCCUUAAUCUCUCCUUAUUAUCCAACAUAUUCGCUUAUCCAACAUUCUGCCGGCCCGUUUAUGUUGGAUAAGUGAGACUCUACUGUAUUUACAUAAUGCUCAAAUUUAAGAUAAGACUGUCCAACUCUGAUCAAAUCAUUAUUCUCAUCUUCUUCAAUGUAAAUGUGCUUAUGGAUCCUUUUAAUAAUAAUAGAGUAAAAUAAUACAUGUAAUAAUAAUAAUAAUAAUAAUAAUAAUAAUAAAAAAUAAUACAGGAAAAUAAUAAAAGUAAUAAUAAAUAGAGUAAAAUAAUAAAUGCAAUAAUAAUAAGAUCAGAGUGAAAUAUUAAAUGUAUUAAUAAUAAUAAUAAUAAUAAAAUAGAGUAAAAUAAAUGUAAUAGUAGCAACAAUAAUAGAGAAAAGUAAUAUAUGUAAUAAUACCAAUAAUAAUAGAGAAAAAUAAUAAAUGUACCAUAUAUUCUCGAGUAUAAGCUGACCCAAAUAUAAGCCAACCAGGACCCUCACCCGAGUAUAAGCCAAAGAGGGUUUUUCAGUCUUAAAAAAAAGGGCUGAAAAACUAGGCUUAUACUCGAGUAUAUACAGUACUUUGAAAGUAAUUGUUAUCUUCCAGAAACUUCAUUUUUGUGGCUGCCACAAACUGUAUUGAAUUGGUUGAGGCUCUGUGAGAUAUUCAUUGAAAAACAUUAGCAAUAUCUGCUGCAAGAUGUCCUGCAAAGACAACGUUUUUGCAUUUUAAUAAACCUUUUCCAUGUUUUAAUGAUAGAACCAAUUAGGUAAUGACAUUUAUAACCCAGGAACAAAAAUCGUGUUACACAGUGUAGUGUUUCGGGACAGGAUAGUGCUGAAGCUUCUUAAGGCAACAUCAGUGCUAUCUUAU